Molecule: long non-coding RNA, 1017 nt
Organism: Arvicola amphibius (Eurasian water vole)
Lineage: Eukaryota; Metazoa; Chordata; Mammalia; Rodentia; Cricetidae
Exons: 2
Source: RefSeq, a predicted model, not a curated record
GGACGGAAGUAAGAGCACGCGCGUGCGCACAUAUAAGAGGCGGGACGGGUCUCGUCUGCCGAGGUCGGUGCCAGGAGCAUCAGGCUUUGCCUGCGUGGCAGUGCUUUGGUGUAUGUUCUCUUCCGGGCUGUCGCGCGGACCCCGGCUGGCGGUCCUAUACAGUGCUGUGCCGUGCAACCCACCCUCGACUUCUCGGUACGCUUUCCAUGUAGCAGGCACCAGGCAUAUCCCCCAAACAGAGGACUAAAAGAAAUGUCCUCAAUCCCUUCCAUUGCAGUAAUAAACAUCAGAAACGUCACUGGCUGUGGCCAGGCCCAGUAACCCCUGAUAUGGGCACACUUGUUCGACAAGCCCAGCGGUCAGAUGCUGUCAUCCGGUCCCAUUCGCCUGCACUGACGCAGUGGCUCUACAGGCGGCAGGUCCUUCUGUCUGGAUUACCACCAGGAGGUGCUGCACGGAUUUAGGGUGGGUCUUCCUGCUUCAUUUAAUCCGCUCCAGAAAAUCUGUCACAAGGAGCACCCAGUAGCUUGUGUUUUAGUUGACUCCAGAUGAAGUUAAUUUCACAACCAAGGAUAUUCACAACGAUGCCAAAGACAAAGCAAACAUGGUAAAGAAGAUUUAAGGGAUCCAGUUGAAGAGUGUCCAGAAAGUCCUGCGCUGUCCUUGUCCUUCAGGAAGCCCAGGAAUGUGGGAAGAGGAACGCUUGCAAGCGUGACUCGCUGAGAUGACGUGCUCAGCCUCACAGCUGUGAGAUGGUUUGGCUCUGGUGUCCAGUCUCCCCAUGAGUCCUGAGAGAGAGCUCAGUGGGGAAAGGCGUCUGCUGCCAAGCCCGCUGACCUGAGUUUGAUGCCCAGGACCCACAUGGUGGGAGAGAACCAAGUUGCUGUCUCACCUUCAUAUGCACACAGUAACAUACAUGCCAACCCCUGCAUACUCACAUGUAUGUAGGCACACUAACACAUAAUAAUAUUAUUAAAAUAUACAUAUUUAUAAUACAAUUUUAAGAUUUUUUUUACA